Molecule: non-coding RNA, 72 nt
Organism: Phrynosoma platyrhinos (Desert horned lizard)
Lineage: Eukaryota; Metazoa; Chordata; Lepidosauria; Squamata; Phrynosomatidae
Source: the annotation of a GenBank genome assembly
GUCAGUGUGGUAUACUGGUUUGAGCAUUGGACUAUGACUCUGGAGACCAGGGUUCAAACCCCUGCUCAGCCA